This 82-nucleotide transfer RNA is filed under the name Postia placenta MAD-698-R-SB12. RNAcentral describes it as "tRNA-Ala". Lineage: Eukaryota; Fungi; Basidiomycota; Agaricomycetes; Polyporales; Adustoporiaceae. The record is from RNAcentral.
GGGCAUGUGGUGUAGUUGGUUAUCACGCUCGCUUAGCAAGUGCAAGUGCGAGAGGGGUCCAGUUCGAUCCCGGACAUGUCCA